Molecule: ribosomal RNA, 555 nt
Filed under: Triticum aestivum (bread wheat)
Lineage: Eukaryota; Viridiplantae; Streptophyta; Magnoliopsida; Poales; Poaceae
Description: partial small subunit ribosomal RNA
Source: RNAcentral
AUGGCAUCCUCCAAGAUCGUCCUGCCGUCUGUCAUCCUGGCGCUCCGGCUAGUGGCCAUGCUCCUCCUGGCCGGGUCGCUCGCCCUCAUCGUCACCGACAAAGUCGACGUCCGCAGCGAUCUCUUUGAGGGCGGCCGCUUCGUCUUAAAGUUCAAGGACAUCUACACCUACAGGUAUGUCGUGGCUAUUGCUGCCAUUGGAUGCGCGUACAGCCUCGUGCAGGCACCGCUCGCGGCCGUUGCCAUCGCUACGAAGAAGAGAGUGAUCGGAGGGACGGCAAAUGUGGCGCUGUUCCUCAUAUGCGCCGACGUGAUUUUUGUUAUAGCUUUUGCGACUGCCGCUGGGGCAAGCUACUGGUUCAGCACCGACGCGGAUCGCUACGUCGACGAGCUGUAUCCGGACAGCUUGACGAAGGCUAACCCGGACUUCAAAAGGCUCCGCCAAGAAUUGGACAUGUUCUUCGUGCGUGCCUCCGCGGCCGCGUUGCUCAUGCUGCUCGCUGCCAAAUGCACGGCGGCCGUUUUGGUGAACUCCGUCUACGCUCUUGUCAAGUAA